AGAAAUCUCACCAGGCCCGGACACUGGAAGGAUUGACAGAUUGAUAGCUCUUUCUUGAUUCGGUGGGUGGUGGUGCAUGGCCGUUCUUAGUUGGUGGAGCGAUCUGUCUGGUUAAUUCCGAUAACGAACGAGACCCCAACCUGCUAACUAGCCCUCGGGUCCUGCUUCUGUUGGGCCCGACGGAAUGAUUCGCUUCUUAGAGGGACUCGCGGCGCCUAGCCGCACGAAGGGGGGCGAUAA
RNAcentral lists this ribosomal RNA (240 nucleotides) under uncultured eukaryote. Its description in RNAcentral is "partial 18S ribosomal RNA". It matches the Rfam family "Eukaryotic small subunit ribosomal RNA", at positions 1208 to 1456 of the family's 1831-position model. The record is from RNAcentral.